This 193-nucleotide small nuclear RNA is filed under the name Helianthus annuus (common sunflower). RNAcentral describes it as "sRNA HanXRQr2_Chr01g0026661". It matches the Rfam family "U2 spliceosomal RNA". Rfam says of the family: U2 is a small nuclear RNA (snRNA) component of the spliceosome (involved in pre-mRNA splicing). The record is from RNAcentral. Lineage: Eukaryota; Viridiplantae; Streptophyta; Magnoliopsida; Asterales; Asteraceae.
AUAAUUAGCACUGUUUGUACAGGAUCUCAACCCGUGUAGUAUCUGUUCUUAUCAGUUUAAUAUCUGAUAUGUGGGCCAUCGGCCCACUCGAUAUUAAUCUAAUUUUUUAUGGGAAAAGGCCCAUCACAAUAGCUUGCUAUUGGGGUCUUUGAGCGUUUGCGUUGCAUUACUGCCUAGGCUUGGCGCACCCCUC